Molecule: long non-coding RNA, 164 nt
Organism: Galeopterus variegatus (Sunda flying lemur)
Lineage: Eukaryota; Metazoa; Chordata; Mammalia; Dermoptera; Cynocephalidae
Exons: 3
Source: RefSeq, a predicted model, not a curated record
AAAGCCGUUUUUGAUCAGUUGGUUGUAACCCACAAAAUCCUUCGGAAGGCCAGAGGAAACCUGGAGCUCAGGCCCGGGGGUGCUCAUCCAGGAACAUCCGGUCCCAGCAGACCAGGCUCCUGAGGAGAACUUGCAGCCAAUAAAGCUUGUGUUUCCCCGCCGAG